UCUGUGAUGAUCUACAAAUUAAGCAUAGUUCACUCCGAAACUAUCGUGUGGAAUACUAUACUAACGUCUUUCGCUCCUAUCUGA
Molecule: small nucleolar RNA, 84 nt
Filed under: Botryobasidium botryosum FD-172 SS1
Lineage: Eukaryota; Fungi; Basidiomycota; Agaricomycetes; Cantharellales; Botryobasidiaceae
Description: Small nucleolar RNA snR60/Z15/Z230/Z193/J17
Rfam family: Small nucleolar RNA snR60/Z15/Z230/Z193/J17
About the family: The members of this family belong to the C/D class of snoRNAs which contain the C (UGAUGA) and D (CUGA) box motifs. Most of the members of the box C/D family function in directing site-specific 2'-O-methylation of substrate RNAs. The family includes the yeast snoRNA snR60 (also known as Z15) and the corresponding human guide snoRNA U80 (SNORD80).
Source: Rfam by way of RNAcentral